UACAGAGGUCUCAAGCGUUGUUCGGAUUCAUUGGGCGUAAAGGGUGCGUAGGCGGCGAGGUUAGUCAGGUGUGAAAUCCCGGAGCUUAACUCCGGAACUGCACUUGAUACUGCCUUGCUUGAGGACUGGAGAGGAGAUCGGAAUUCACGGUGUAGCAGUGAAAUGCGUAGAUAUCGUGAGGAAGGCCAGUGGCGAAGGCGGAUCUCUGGACAGUUCCUGACGCUGAGGCACGAAGGCCAGGGGAGCAAACGGG
This 253-nucleotide ribosomal RNA is filed under the name uncultured Spartobacteria bacterium. Its description in RNAcentral is "partial 16S ribosomal RNA". It matches the Rfam family "Bacterial small subunit ribosomal RNA", at positions 524 to 776 of the family's 1533-position model. The record is from RNAcentral. Lineage: Bacteria; Pseudomonadati; Verrucomicrobiota; Spartobacteria.